This 184-nucleotide antisense RNA is filed under the name Zea mays. RNAcentral describes it as "Antisense RNA which regulates isiA expression". It matches the Rfam family "Antisense RNA which regulates isiA expression". Lineage: Eukaryota; Viridiplantae; Streptophyta; Magnoliopsida; Poales; Poaceae. The record is from Rfam by way of RNAcentral.
AAUAACCAAAUAUAACACCGGGAUUAAGGGCCAAAUUGGUAAUUUUUCUAAAUCCCCAUGAGAGCUCAGGUAUCAUAUACACCUCCAAAAUAAAGAGCCUUUCAGUACUAGAAGAACAAACACCUAGACCUGACAAAAUUAAGUGAAUACAUAAAAUUGUAGUCAUUUUAUUUCUAUCUUUCCA